UGGGGAAUAUUGCACAAUGGGCGCAAGCCUGAUGCAGCCAUGCCGCGUGUAUGAAGAAGGCCUUCGGGUUGUAAAGUACUUUCAGCGGGGAGGAAGGGAGUAAAGUUAAUACCUUUGCUCAUUGACGUUACCCGCAGAAGAAGCACCGGCUAACUCCGUGCCAGCAGCCGCGGUAAUAAGGAGGGUGCAAGCGUUAAUCGGAAUUACUGGGCGUAAAGCGCACGCAGGCGGUUUGUUAAGUCAGAUGUGAAAUCCCCGGGCUCAACCUGGGAACUGCAUCUGAUACUGGCAAGCUUGAGUCUCGUAGAGGGGGGUAGAAUUCCAGGUGUAGCGGUGAAAUGCGUAGAGAUCUGGAGGAAUACCGGUGGCGAAGGCGGCCCCCUGGACGAAGACUGACGCUCAGGUGCGAAAGCGUGGGGAGCAAACA
Molecule: ribosomal RNA, 427 nt
Filed under: uncultured bacterium
Lineage: Bacteria
Description: partial 16S ribosomal RNA
Rfam family: Bacterial small subunit ribosomal RNA
Source: RNAcentral